GAUGAACGCUGGCGGCGCGCCUAACACAUGCAAGUCGAACGAUUAAAGCACCUUCGGGUGUGUAUAAAGUGGCGAACGGCUGAGUAACACGUGGGCAACCUGCCCCUUUCAUUGGGAUAGCCACGGGAAACCGUGGAUAAUACCGAAUACUUCGAGACUUCCGCAUGGAAGACUCGAGAAAGCUCCGGCGGAGAGGGAUGGGCCCGCGGCCUGUUAGCUUGUUGGUGGGGUAACGGCCUACCAAGGCAAUGAUGGGUAGCUGGGUUGAGAGACCGACCAGCCAGAUUGGGACUGAGACACGGCCCAGACUCCUACGGGAGGCAGCAGUGGGGAAUCUUGCACAAUGGGCGAAAGCCUGAUGCAGCGACGCCGCGUGCGGGAUGAAGGCCUUCGGGUUGUAAACCGCUUUCAGCAGGGACGAGGCGAAAGUGACGGUAGCUGCAGAAGAAGCCCCGGCUAACUACGUG
Molecule: ribosomal RNA, 467 nt
Filed under: uncultured bacterium
Lineage: Bacteria
Description: partial 16S ribosomal RNA
Rfam family: Bacterial small subunit ribosomal RNA
Source: RNAcentral